Molecule: ribosomal RNA, 253 nt
Filed under: uncultured bacterium
Lineage: Bacteria
Description: partial 16S ribosomal RNA
Rfam family: Bacterial small subunit ribosomal RNA
Source: RNAcentral
UACGUAGGGGGCAAGCGUUGUCCGGAUUUAUUGGGCGUAAAGAGCGUGUAGGCGGUUAGGUAGGUCCGUUGUGAAAACUCGAGGCUCAACCUCGAGACGCCGAUGGAAACCAUCUGACUAGAGUCCGGAAGAGGAGAGUGGAAUUCCUGGUGUAGCGGUGAAAUGCGCAGAUAUCAGGAAGAACACCCGUGGCGAAGGCGGCUCUCUGGGACGGUACUGACGCUGAGACGCGAAAGCGUGGGGAGCGAACAGG